This 307-nucleotide unclassified non-coding RNA is filed under the name Hevea brasiliensis (rubber tree). The record is from RNAcentral. Lineage: Eukaryota; Viridiplantae; Streptophyta; Magnoliopsida; Malpighiales; Euphorbiaceae.
AACAUGUCCAGAGACUUGGGUACUAUUGGAUGAGAAUGUUGUUCUACAUUAUGGUAUGCAUAGGUGCUGGGCUCUCUUUGGGAGAGGAGAAUGUGCUGGGUUUCUAUAUGGCUUCAUCUCUUUAAGGCUUACCUUUUGCCAUGGGGGAAAAAAAAGAGUGGAAGAUUUUAGUCUAUGGGUCUUUCAUGGACUCUCAGUUUGGACGUCCUCAUCCACUUUCCUUUUGGUUUGCUCCACCUGAUAGUGUGAAACCGAACAUCUAUGGCUCUUCGUGAGGGAAACUUGGUCCCUGUUCCAUUGGGGGUGU